RNAcentral lists this ribosomal RNA (254 nucleotides) under uncultured bacterium. RNAcentral describes it as "partial 16S ribosomal RNA". It matches the Rfam family "Bacterial small subunit ribosomal RNA", at positions 524 to 776 of the family's 1533-position model. The record is from RNAcentral.
UACGUAGGGUGCGAGCGUUGUCCGGAAUUAUUGGGCGUAAAGAGCUCGUAGGCGGUGUGUCACGUCGUUCGUGAAAACCUGCAGCUUAACUGUGGGCGUGCGGUCGAUACGGGCAUCACUGGAGUUCGGCAGGGGAGACUGGAAUUCCUGGUGUAGCGGUGAAAUGCGCAGAUAUCAGGAGGAACACCGGUGGCGAAGGCGGCCAACUGGACAGAUACUGACGCUGAGACACGAAAGCGUGGGGAGCAAACAGG